RNAcentral lists this ribosomal RNA (480 nucleotides) under uncultured bacterium. RNAcentral's name for it is "partial 16S ribosomal RNA". It matches the Rfam family "Bacterial small subunit ribosomal RNA", at positions 28 to 507 of the family's 1533-position model. The record is from RNAcentral.
GACGAACGCUGGCGGCGCGCUUAACACAUGCAAGUCGAGCGAUGAAACUUUAACAGAACCCUUCGGGGCGAAGAUAAGGUGGAUUAGCGGCGGGCGGGUGAGUAACACGUGAGUAACCUGCCUUAGACAUUGGGAUAGCCUCGGGAAACCGGGAUUAAUACCAAAUAAAAUCAUAAUGACACAUGUCAUAACGAUCAAAACUCCGGUGGUCUAAGAUGGACUCGCGUCCCAUUAGCUAGUUGGUAGAGUAAAAGCCUACCAAGGCGACGAUGGGUAGCCGGCCUGAGAGGGUGAACGGCCACAUUGGAACUGAGAAACGGUCCAAACUCCUACGGGAGGCAGCAGUGGGGAAUAUUGCACAAUGGAGGGAACUCUGAUGCAGCGACGCCGCGUGAACGAAGAAGGCUUUCGAGUCGUAAAGUUCUUUUAUAUGGGAAGAUAAUGACGGUACCAUAAGAAAAAGCCCCGGCUAACUACGUG